This 183-nucleotide ribosomal RNA is filed under the name Wickerhamiella pararugosa. RNAcentral describes it as "partial 18S ribosomal RNA". It matches the Rfam family "Eukaryotic small subunit ribosomal RNA", at positions 1649 to 1831 of the family's 1831-position model. Lineage: Eukaryota; Fungi; Ascomycota; Dipodascomycetes; Dipodascales; Trichomonascaceae. The record is from RNAcentral.
GGGCCUGCCCUUUGUACACACCGCCCGUCGUUACUACCGAUUGAAUGACUUAGUGAAGCCUUUGGACGUGCGAUUGAUGAGGGCGACCUCUGCCGUUGUACGAAAAUUGGAUGAACUUGGCCAUUUAGAGGAAGUACAAGUCGUAACAAGGUUUCCGUAGGUGAACCUUCGGAAGGAUCAUUA